Long non-coding RNA from Condylura cristata (star-nosed mole), 206 nucleotides. RefSeq lists it as uncharacterized. NCBI's taxonomy places the organism in Eukaryota, Metazoa, Chordata, Mammalia, Eulipotyphla, Talpidae. The record is from RefSeq and is a predicted model, not a curated record. The transcript has 3 exons.
UUUUAUUUCAGUAAUGUUUGCUCUGUUUCUUUCAAUAGAAACUGAUAAAGAUGGCAUUGAACCUAUACAUUACUUUGGGUCCUGUGAUAUGAUGAUUGUCCAUCAAACACAAAAUCUUCAGGAAAAGAUGAACACUGGUCCAGAAACAAGGAAACUAUGGUGGGGACAGUGGUGAGUUUCCUUUGGGAGAGGAGGGUGGAGAUGAG